AUGUCAAGCCGCCUCUCCCUCUGCCGACUGCCUGCCUGCCUGCCUGCCUGCCUGCCUGUGCCAAGAAGCCUACCCGAAUCGAGGGAAAGAGAACGAUGCCGGGAGCGCCUUAACUUCACGCCGGGCGCAAGGGCGGAAGGGGCCGAUUGGUUGACAGCCGGCUGCCUUGCCUUAAGAAGCAGGGCGUCUGAUGUCAGUGAGUGGGGCGGUUUCGUUGGGGGCGAGAGGCCUGGCCGACCUUGCGAGGGGUCUUCCCCACGCCCCUGGUGCAUUUCAACGUGCGGCGAGGGUGAGGGGUGUGGAGAUCACGCUGGCGAGUGCCCCAGGCCCCUGCAGACCAGGCCGCUUUCUCCCCCUGGGGGUGCCAGAGAAGGGCAGAGCGUUGCUGUUACGGCAGGUGUCCGCCAGACGGCGCCAAAGCGCCGGCAGAGCUGCUCUGGCUCUGCCUGGCUGCAACUCCAGGCUCAGAAUGGGCCUGGAGCAGGAUGGAAGGAAACGCAAGGAGGGCCCAGACAGAGCCUUGUGUUGGUGUACCGGGUACCUGUGACGCUGUGGCCGUUUUGUGUCAACAUGCAGUCUGUGCCCCAGCAACUGGAGCGCUGGACGGGCCGUCGAGGCCUGCGUGCCCUUUGCUCCUUGGGGGCACGGCGCUGGGACCCAGGAGGACCCGGCUUGAGUCCUGGACAUGCGGAUUUCUAGAGUCAGGCAGGGGAGGCAUCCGGCCUCUGGAAGGCUGGGCUUCAGGUAGCGAAGGCGGUGUGUCACUGCGGUGGUAUCUGGGGAGGCGUGCCGAGCCUCUCCGUGUGCGCGUCCCCUCCAGAAAUCUCCACAUCCCCCUGCUUCUCUCUCCACCAGAGCCGCCUCUCCCUCUGCCGACUGCCUGCCUGCCUGCCUGCCUGUGCCAAGAAGCCUACCCGAAUCGAGGGAAGAGAGAACGGUGCCCGGGAGCGCCUUAACUUCACGCCGGGCGCAAGGCGGAAGGGGCCGAUUGUUGACAGC
RNAcentral lists this long non-coding RNA (999 nucleotides) under Sus scrofa (pig). Its description in RNAcentral is "lncRNA (ENSSSCG00070024078.1)". Lineage: Eukaryota; Metazoa; Chordata; Mammalia; Artiodactyla; Suidae. The record is from RNAcentral.